UGGGGAAUAUUGCACAAUGGGGGAAACCCUGAUGCAGCCAUGCCGCGUGUGUGAAGAAGGCCUUCGGGUUGUAAAGCACUUUCAGCGAGGAGGAAAGGUUGAUGCCUAAUACGCAUCAACUGUGACGUUACUCGCAGAAGAAGCACCGGCUAACUCCGUGCCAGCAGCCGCGGUAAUACGGAGGGUGCAAGCGUUAAUCGGAAUUACUGGGCGUAAAGCGCACGCAGGCGGUUGGAUAAGUUAGAUGUGAAAGCCCCGGGCUCAACCUGGGAAUUGCAUUUAAAACUGUCCAGCUAGAGUAUGGUAGAGGGUGGUGGAAUUUCCUGUGUAGCGGUGAAAUGCGUAGAUAUAGGAAGGAACACCAGUGGCGAAGGCGACCACCUGGACUGAUACUGACACUGAGGUGCGAAAGCGUGGGGAGCAAACA
This 427-nucleotide ribosomal RNA is filed under the name uncultured bacterium. Its description in RNAcentral is "bacterial SSU rRNA". It matches the Rfam family "Bacterial small subunit ribosomal RNA", at positions 355 to 774 of the family's 1533-position model. The record is from RNAcentral.